RNAcentral lists this ribosomal RNA (254 nucleotides) under uncultured bacterium. RNAcentral describes it as "partial 16S ribosomal RNA". It matches the Rfam family "Bacterial small subunit ribosomal RNA", at positions 524 to 776 of the family's 1533-position model. The record is from RNAcentral.
UACGGAGGGUGCGAGCGUUGUCCGGAAUCAUUGGGCGUAAAGGGCGCGUAGGUGGCCCGGUCAGUUCGUGGUGAAAGCGCGGGGCUCAACCCUGCGUCGGCCAUGAAUACUGCCGCGGCUGGAGCACUGUAGAGGCAGGCGGAAUUCCGGGUGUAGCGGUGGAAUGCGUAGAGAUCCGGAAGAACACCGGUGGCGAAGGCGGCCUGCUGGGCGGUUGCUGACACUGAGGCGCGACAGCGUGGGGAGCAAACAGG